UGCUUAUUUAAUUAAAUUGCCUCCACUAGCAAGGCCCUGCUUUCCUCUACCUCACUUAGAGAAAUGGGAAGCUGUGUGGCUAGAUGACAAGGAGGAGCUAUUCACAGAGCAGUUUGGGAAGGAAGAAUCCAAAGUAACUACUAGGGACAAUUUUGUAAGUCCCAGAAGAAUUCAGCAAUGGAGCAAAGGGAGCCAUGAUAUCAGUCAGGAAUAGCUGCAGCAAUGGGGAGAUCAGACCCUGAUCUACCUGCAAUGUGAUCAGGAGAGAGUCUACAGCCUAGGAGAGCUCCUGAAAGGGCACCCGGCGCCCCCGCUGUGCAGCCUGAAGGGGACAGCAUGAUGCAGCUGUGCCCUAGAGACGCCCCUGAAAGGCCACGGCCAAGGACUGACUCAGGGCAGCCUCUUGGAACAAGGGAGAGAGUGCAGCCCCUCCAGAACCAGCCUCAGUCUGA
This is a long non-coding RNA of Mauremys reevesii (Reeves's turtle), 452 nucleotides long. RefSeq lists it as uncharacterized. Lineage: Eukaryota; Metazoa; Chordata; Testudines; Geoemydidae. The transcript has 3 exons. The record is from RefSeq and is a predicted model, not a curated record.